GACGAACGCUGGCGGCGUGCUUAACACAUGCAAGUCGAACGAAGUGGCGAACGGGUGAGUAACGCGUAAUCAACCUGCCCUUCAGAGGGGGACAACAGUUGGAAACGACUGCUAAUACCGCAUACUUAAGGGGGGGAUUGUGUGUGAAUAGGUAGUGGGAGGGGUAAUGGCCCACCAAGGCGAGUGUCAGUAGCCGGUCUGAGAGGAUGAACGGCCACAUUGGGACUGAGACAAGGCCCAGACUCCUACGGGAGGCAGCAGUGGGGAAUCUUCCGCAAUGGACGAAAGUCUGACUGAGCAACGCCGCGUGAGUGAUGACGGCCUUCGGGUUGUAAAGCUCUGUUAAUCGGGACGCGGUACCGGAAUAGAAAGCCACGGCUAACUACGUGCCAGCCGCCGCGGUAAUAC
This 408-nucleotide ribosomal RNA is filed under the name uncultured bacterium. RNAcentral's name for it is "partial 16S ribosomal RNA". It matches the Rfam family "Bacterial small subunit ribosomal RNA", at positions 28 to 526 of the family's 1533-position model. The record is from RNAcentral.